Non-coding RNA from Marasmius sp. AFHP31, 96 nucleotides. Lineage: Eukaryota; Fungi; Basidiomycota; Agaricomycetes; Agaricales; Marasmiaceae. The record is from the annotation of a GenBank genome assembly.
GCAUCAAUGGGGUAGUGGUAACCUGGGUCGUUGCCAUAGGUCGUGCCGCACAUUUGUGAUUUCGACCCGCCGGGGGUUCGAUUCCCUCUUGAUGCA